GUGCUCUUCUCUACGCACGGCACGAAACGACCGUUGCACUACUAUGCCGUGAUCCGCCGUGAUCGGUGAAUUGCUGGUAAGUUGACGAGAAGCGAGCGUCCAGCGUGAAUACAAGUAGGAGGGGAAAAAACGCUUCCGAGCACACACGUGCAGUCAAACCAGUCUCUUUCGUGUGCAACUGUGCUUGCUCGCUCUAGGCCUUCUCCAAGCUGUGUAUGGCUGAACGUCUGUACAACAAUCAGAACGACACCAGCGCGAGCGCGUUCACCGUCCACCACCACGGCAUUUACGUCUAACUGCGUAGUUUGUACGUUCGUACCACGAAUCUCUGCUUGAAGAAGGGUGGGGGCCAUGACUCGUGGCCGAUAUUGGACAGACCUUCAGAUAAGUGCAUCAGAUGGUCGAAGAUUGAUAACGAUAGAGUUAGCCACAAAGUUAACGGAGGAAGAAAACAGCCCACAAGGAACCUGUGUGUCGGCCCUACCGGAAAUUUAGGUGGUUUCUAGAUGAUAUCGUCUAGAAACACUUCAUCUAGAAUUGAACCUUUGCUAAAUUAUAACUAGACGACCGCUAGACUCAGAAGGGUCACCAUCCCUUUUUUAUGGGUACGCGUCUAGAGAACGUCAAGUGGGCAUCUCGGGAUCAUAUAGUGUAAAUCUAGGAAGAGUCUAGUGGGUAUUUAGGAAGCAUCUAGGGGGCAACUAGGAAGCCUCUAGUGCGCAUUUAGUCAUCGCAUAGUGUGAAUCUAGGAACGUAUACAAAAUAAUGUACGAAUAAAUAUUCUUUCUAACUUUAA
Belonocnema kinseyi is the source of this 796-nucleotide long non-coding RNA. RefSeq lists it as uncharacterized. The record is from RefSeq and is a predicted model, not a curated record. Lineage: Eukaryota; Metazoa; Arthropoda; Insecta; Hymenoptera; Cynipidae. The transcript is spliced from 3 exons.